UGGGGAAUCUUGCGCAAUGGGCGAAAGCCUGACGCAGCGACGCCGCGUGGGGGAUGAAGCUUCUCGGAGUGUAAACCCCUUUCGACCCGGAAGAAUGGUCCGCAAGGACUUGACGGUACGGGUAUAAGAAGCCCCGGCUAACUACGUGCCAGCAGCCGCGGUAAGACGUAGGGGGCCAGCGUUGCUCGGAAUUACUGGGCGUAAAGGGUUCGUAGGCGGUGCGGCAAGUCGGAAGUGAAAUCUCCAGGCUUAACUUGGAGGCUGCUCCCGAAACUGCCGUGCUAGAGUGCAGGAGGGGCGAGUGGAAUUACAGGUGUAGCGGUGAAAUGCGUAGAUAUCUGUAGGAACACCCGUGGCGAAGGCGGCUCGCUGGACUGCAACUGACGCUGAGGAACGAAAGCUAGGGGAGCAAACAGGAUUAGAUACCCCCGUAGUCC
This 437-nucleotide ribosomal RNA is filed under the name uncultured bacterium. RNAcentral describes it as "bacterial SSU rRNA". It matches the Rfam family "Bacterial small subunit ribosomal RNA", at positions 355 to 796 of the family's 1533-position model. The record is from RNAcentral.